Molecule: transfer RNA, 71 nt
Filed under: Paenibacillus polymyxa SC2
Lineage: Bacteria; Bacillati; Bacillota; Bacilli; Caryophanales; Paenibacillaceae
Rfam family: tRNA
About the family: Transfer RNA (tRNA) molecules are approximately 80 nucleotides in length. Their secondary structure includes four short double-helical elements and three loops (D, anti-codon, and T loops). Further hydrogen bonds mediate the characteristic L-shaped molecular structure. tRNAs have two regions of fundamental functional importance: the anti-codon, which is responsible for specific mRNA codon recognition, and the 3' end, to which the tRNAs corresponding amino acid is attached (by aminoacyl-tRNA synthetases). tRNAs cope with the degeneracy of the genetic code in two manners: having more than one tRNA (with a specific anti-codon) for a particular amino acid; and 'wobble' base-pairing, i.e. permitting non-standard base-pairing at the 3rd anti-codon position.
Source: Rfam by way of RNAcentral
GGGGCAAUAGUUUAACGGUAGAACAACGGCUUCCAACCCCGUUGGUGUGGGUUCAAUUCCUGCUUGCCCUG